Molecule: long non-coding RNA, 1901 nt
Filed under: Chinchilla lanigera (long-tailed chinchilla)
Lineage: Eukaryota; Metazoa; Chordata; Mammalia; Rodentia; Chinchillidae
Description: lncRNA (ENSCLAG00000029059.1)
Source: RNAcentral
CUGGAACUUGGAACUGGAGUAUCAGCUUUCUGCUUCUUAGCAGAAUGAAACUGAGCACAUCACUUUAACUCAGCAGAGGGCUGGUGGCUGCCGAGUCCUCCACAGCAAGGGCCGCUCCAGCAUUUCCCAGCCAACGUGGAUGGCAUGAAGUGAAGUGCAGAGAGUGAAGAGGAAGGGAUCACCUUUCAGUUUGCUUCAAUUGGCUAAAUGGGGGACAGUUUUGUGACUUCAAGGAUUGUCUAUCAUAGGCUGAAAUGAGAGCUGACGUGAAACUGCACAGCCAGUGCCUGGCAUGUUUCGUAAAGGGCUACCAGUGAGGAAAGAGGUAAGGAUGGGGGAUGGUGACACUUGGGCGGAGGGCAGACUGGACUUUCAGACUGGCAUGAUGAGGAAAAGGAGGAUCUGCAUUUGGGAAUUUCACAACGUAGCAUGCAUUUUAGUUCCAUAGCAGUGGCUACUCCAGCAUUUCCCAAUCAACACGGAUGGCAUGGGGGUGACCACUUGCACAUACCAGUGCAUUGGUUGACUGCACCAGGAUUGGCCCUUGAACCAAGUUGGGGCAAUCAAGGUUCAGGUCUUGGAAUUGUGAGACUGAAAAAGUGGAAAAGUGAAAGAAGAAAGAUUUCAGAAAGUGGCUGACUGGUUCCUGCCUGUAGAGACCAGAAACCUGCAGACCUGUGGGGCAGCUGCACUUCCCACCUGAGAAGGCAAGGAAGCUGGUUUGCAGAGAAAGAGAGAACAAAUGAGAUAGAGAGAGAGGGAGGGGGACAGAAAGUCCUGCCCCUCUGGGUCCUGGUUCCUGUCCUUUCCUGGCCUGGCUAUCCCUUGCCCAUGGGCUUCUCAAUCCCUAGAAUUAUCCCUCCUUUUUACCACAAGCGACCUCUAGUCGAUGCCUCUCACUUGCCAUCUCCAGUGCUUCACCCAUCUUUUAAGGCAGAGAGAAUUAUACAUGAUGGGUGACAUCUAUAUCCAGGAAUUUCUGGUUUAGGAUGUAGAGGAGCUGACAUUCAGCCAUAUGGACUGAAUUGCACUUCCUCACUAAAAUUCACUGUGAUGCUGGAAAUAGCAAAUCAGGGCACGCUAAAAGAAAAGAAGCUGUGGUGCCUGGUAGCGGUGUCUCCAUGCAGCCUUGACAUUUUAAUUAAUUUUUAGUAGAUGAGCUAUUUCUUCGUUUUCCCCAGCAUUAGCCUGACUGGCUUAGAUGAAAGGAGAAAUUAUUUUUCAUAGAAUCCAACUAAAUUAUGGGCAAAGUAGCUACAGAGCUGAAACUCAAGAAUAACUGAGAAGAGGUCUGUAGACAGCCCGAGGGCCGCUUGGUGUCUUGGCGGACGCCCUGUCUCUGUUUCUCCUCUGUGAGGGCUUCAUCCUUUCAGGUUUCUCCAUUCCCAGCCCAGCUGCAGACAGCUCCUUAGCCCUGGAACGCAGUCUGUCAGGCUGCCCUCCACAGGCUCUGGGAAGCCAUUUCUCCUGUUUACCCUGCAGUAUGCAUCCAUUUUUGGACCAUCCACUCAUGCCAGGGCAGUCUGAGUACUAUGAUAGUUCUCUAUGGGUGAAGAACUAACUCCAAGAUCAGCUCACUGUGGCAUAGGGGCCAAUGUUAUAAAAGAGCGUUUUGGAAGAGAGUCACUUUCUCAGAGAGAUGCUGGCCACGGUGGUGCACAGCUGUAAUCUCAGCACUCUGGGAGGCUGAAGCAGGAGGAUCAUAAGUUCAAGUCCAGCCUGGGUACUUUAUGGAUUUAGACUCUGUCUCAAAAUAAAAAAUAACAAAGGGCUAGGGAGGUAGCUCAGUGGAAAGAACCUUAGCUCACUGUACACUAAGCACUGAUCUAUGAUAUUCUAAAAAUGAAAACGAGCUCAGUAUUAGUUUCAUAAAUUAUCAUGUUAAGCUUCAAAAUAAACAG